UACAGAGGUCCCAAGCGUUGUUCGGAUUCAUUGGGCGUAAAGGGUUCGUAGGCGGUGCGGCAAGUCGGUAGUGAAAUCUCCAGGCUUAACUUGGAGGCUGCUGCCGAAACUGCUGUGCUAGAGUGCAGGAGAGGCGAGUGGAAUUACAGGUGUAGCGGUGAAAUGCGUAGAUAUCUGUAGGAACACCCGUGGCGAAGGCGGCUCGCUGGACUGCAACUGACGCUGAGGAACGAAAGCUAGGGGAGCAAACAGG
RNAcentral lists this ribosomal RNA (253 nucleotides) under uncultured bacterium. Its description in RNAcentral is "partial 16S ribosomal RNA". It matches the Rfam family "Bacterial small subunit ribosomal RNA", at positions 524 to 776 of the family's 1533-position model. The record is from RNAcentral.